GGUGACAGGGAGGAAGUGGGGAGCAUAACUUGGCUAAUAUGGAAGUAAAAUUAUUCACCCCUUGAAAAGUUCAUUAAUACUUGCGUUUCGAAUUAAUUUUUGCCGGAAAACUAAAGAAAUUUGAAAGUGUUCUUGUAUUAAGUCUCCGAGCGCAGUCUUGCAUAUUGUAUUUCGGCAACGGGGGAGGACGGGUUCAAGUCAGGUCAUGGUCAGGUUAGGUUAUACAGGUAACUCGAUUUAUGCGGGUAUUGUGUCCUUGAAGAGUUGGCGUAAAUGAAAAUCAAUGUAAAUCGAACAAGAGGUCGGUUUGUACCUUUAUUGCCUACCGUAUCACUCUGACUCCUCUCCCUCUCGUGGUUCCUCCUCUGGCUGCCCUUCCCCUCGUGGUAGCACAGCAGCGAGGGUAUUUUUGAUGUUGAGUUGGGUAGCGUGGGUACUGUAUUGUUGUUCAAGUGGCGCGCGGGAAGAACCGAGCUCAGCUAUGUGGCCGCGGCGCCGUGUAAGUCGAGUCGCGUGAGACGUCUGGUGGACACUCCAUAAAAUAUCGCGUCUAAGUGAAAAAAAACGUGUAAAUUAAACAUUUAUUUGGAUUUUGGACCCCGUGUCAUUUCAAAAACACGUAAACCAAACUCGCGUUAACCGAGAGUUACCAGAAAAGGUGUUGUAUUAUGUUAACGAGCGCAGUCUAGCACACAGCAUUUCAGCAUGAGGUGGCGGUACAGGCUUGGUUAUAGUUAGGUUAGGUUAGGCUUGGUUAUAGUUAGGUUAGGUUAGGUUUGGUUAUAGUUAGGUUAGGUUAGGUUUGGUUAUAGUUAGGUUAGGUUAGGUUUGGUUAUAGUUAGGUUAGGUUAGGUUUGGUUAUAGUUAGGUUAGGUUAGGCUUGGUUAUAGUUAGGUUAGGUUAGGCUUGGUUAUAGUUAGGUUAGGUUAGGCUUGGUUAUAGUUAGGUUAGGUUAGGCUUGGUUAUAGUUAGGUUAGGUUAGGCUUGGUUAUAGUUAGGUUAGGUUAGGUUUGGUUAUAGUUAGGUUAGGUUAGGCUUGGUUAUAGUUAGGUUAGGUUAGGCUUGGUUAUAGAUAGGUUAGGUUAGGCUUGGUUAUAGUUAGGUUAGGUUAGGUUUGGUUAUAUCGGGUUCGGUCAGGUUGGGUUUCGUUAUCGGGUUCGUCAAGUUUAAUUGUUGACGAAAAUUUCUGAUAUGCUUUACGCUGUAUAGUUGUUGGCAUUAGCGGCAGGAAAGACUAUGCUUAUCUCUGGGUUGGGGUGAUAGAGGAGAGGUGGGGUGCAUGUUUUGUGGUGGGGAAGAUAUGGGGAGCAUGUUUUGUGGGUGGGGGUGAUGCAAGGGUGAUGGGGAGGAUGUUUUGUGGGUGUGAUUGUAGAGGUUGGGAUA
Long non-coding RNA from Eriocheir sinensis (Chinese mitten crab), 1383 nucleotides. RefSeq lists it as uncharacterized. NCBI's taxonomy places the organism in Eukaryota, Metazoa, Arthropoda, Malacostraca, Decapoda, Varunidae. The transcript has 3 exons. The record is from RefSeq and is a predicted model, not a curated record.